This 505-nucleotide ribosomal RNA is filed under the name uncultured bacterium. RNAcentral's name for it is "partial 16S ribosomal RNA". It matches the Rfam family "Bacterial small subunit ribosomal RNA", at positions 28 to 507 of the family's 1533-position model. The record is from RNAcentral.
GACGAACGCUGGCGGCGUGCCUAAUACAUGCAAGUAGAACGCACAGUUUAUACCGUAGCUUGCUACACCAUAGACUGUGAGUUGCGAACGGGUGAGUAACGCGUAGGUAACCUGCCUGGUAGCGGGGGAUAACUAUUGGAAACGAUAGCUAAUACCGCAUAAUAUUAAUUAUUGCAUGAUAAUUAAUUGAAAGGUGCAAUUGCACCACUACCAGAUGGACCUGCGUUGUAUUAGCUAGUAGGUGAGGUAACGGCUCACCUAGGCGACGAUACAUAGCCGACCUGGGAGGGUGAUCGGCCACACUGGGACUGAGACACGGCCCAGACUCCUACGGGAGGCAGCAGUAGGAAAUCUUCGGCAAUGGACGAAAGUCUGACCGAGCAACGCCGCGUGAGUGAAGAAGGUUUUCGGAUCGUAAAGCUCUGUUGUAAGAGAAGAACGGGUGUGAGAGUGGAAAGUUCACACUGUGACGGUAUCUUACCAGAAAGGGACGGCUAACUACGUG